GUUAUCACCAGUAUUGUUCAAGCCGGCCUGGUAACGAGAAUCCAGUCACGUGAAAACGCAGAAAUUAAGUCGGAUAUUUUGCCCGAAAACGAAGAAGAAUGGAAAAUCGAAGCUUAUCUACAGGAUUAAGAUGUUGCUCCACACAAGUAAGCCAAAAUUAAAAGCAAUUGACAAACCUUAGACCGGCAGGAAAAGCAGUUGAACCAGAGUCGAUGUGUCGCGUGUCGCUUCAAAGAAGUAAUGCUGCGUUGGCUGUAGAGCUCUACAGCUACUCCAUAGACUGGAAGACGUCCGUCCGGUGAAAGAAGAGAAAACUGGGAUUCGUCUGAUUAUACACAUUACAGUUUCUAUCCAAUGUCGGUAUCCCAUGUAAUCUCUAAGCGGUCCCAUCGAUGAAGCAGUGGGAAACAAAUGUCUUACAGAGUGAAAUUUGAUAAAUUGGUCGUCAGCAGGUCUCCUAGCUCAUGGACGUGAGCUCAUGAAUCUUCGUUUCAGGCAAAUCUAAAACUCUGGAAUCGAAACACUGAUUUCUUCCAUCCUCAACAGUGUAAUGGCACGGGCAGCCUGCUCGCUGAUUAUAGGCAUUUUUAUAAACGUUUUGUCCUGUGCCACCAACACAAUAAUAAAUUUGUGUGUUUUAAAGGAUUAACUCCCAUUAUUGAUGAUUUUCAUUGUGUAGAUUUAAAAUCAAAUUAGAAAUUUAGCGGUUUUGCCACCCAAUCGGCGACAAAAACAAAUACUUUACGUCUCAUAUUAUAAUUAUGAAAUCAUUUUUAAAGCAGUGAGACAAAAAAUAUGGCCAAAACAUUGUCAAAUUAAAAAAGAAAUAUAAAUUUGAAAGUGCGCCCCUUUUUUGUUGUCUAGCUUGGUUGUUAUAUUUGUGUUAAAUUGAUAAAAUCAGGCAAGUAUAUGUAGGGUCAAAUUGGGUUUUAAAGUUUAUCAUUAAACGUUAUAAAUGUUAUUUUUACGU
Molecule: long non-coding RNA, 970 nt
Organism: Cimex lectularius (bed bug)
Lineage: Eukaryota; Metazoa; Arthropoda; Insecta; Hemiptera; Cimicidae
Exons: 3
Source: RefSeq, a predicted model, not a curated record